AACGAGCUUUCCUAUUAUCACACCGCCACCGCUUGAGUCUAUUGAAGAGGCUAGAGGAGUGGUUUCGAGUGUGACUACUUCUUCUUCUUCGUCUUUUCUUCUUUUACGAGCUCUGAGGUUCAAACCGAGCACAACACAGACGCCAAAGAGGAUCACGGCUGCAGCAACUAUGACAAUGAUAACCGAAACGCUUAGAGCUUCAGAGUUUCUUGAUUUCCCUGUGGCGGCUCCACGUGAGUUGCAGGGAGUGGUUACAAGAGGAUCACCGCAAAGGAGAGGGUUGUUUUCAAAUGCAGAAGCUCCAAAAGCUUGUAAAGCCGGAGCAGGAGGGAUAACACCUGAGAGAUUGUUGUGGGAGACGUUGAAAUGCGUUAGCCUGUUCAAGCUCCCGAGGGAAGAAGGGAUUGAGCCUGAAAGAGAGUUCUGCGAAAGAUCGAGAAACUGGAUUCUGGAGAGGCUUCCAAGCUCAGAUGGAAUACUUCCGUUGAUGCGGUUACCAUGCAGGUCAAGAAUCUCCAGGUUUGUUAAGUUUAGUAGCUUCUUAGGGAUCUCUCCUUCUAACUCAUUCCCUGAAACAUCUCUGCAAAGCAACAACAAUGAGAGAGAGAUUCAUAUACAGUAACAAAAAUCAAAACAUCAAAACACUCACAGUUCAAGAAGUAAUCUGCAAUUUGAGACAUCCUCUGGAAUCUCACCAACUAAGUUGAGAUCAUGCAGAUUCAAAACCUGUAGAUACUCCAAGCUUCCAAUCUCCUUUGUUAUCUCCCCAUCUAUAGAGUUACCACCUAAUCUAACAACCGAGAGCUUCUCCAUCUUCCCAAUACCUCCAGGGAUACUCCCGCUCAGCUUGUUAGACUCCAAGUCCAAAAGCUUGAGACUUUUGCAACCAGUCACACCACUAGAGAUCCCACCGGUUAACUCAUUAGACGAAGCAUCCAAAAACUCCAACCUUUGACCACAACCAACAACCUCUCCAAUCUCCCCACCAAACCGGUUCCAGGAGACGUUAACAUAAGUUAUGUUCACGAACCCAAGAACCUCAAAAGGCCCUGACCCUUGGAACAUAUUGCUCCCCAGGUCAACAUGGCUCAGUCUCUUACACUUCACCACCUCCUCAGAGACAUCACCAGACAAGAGAUUAUUCCUCACAGAGAUAUACUCAAGCACAGGAAUAUCACAGACCCCAGGCGGUAGCACUCCGUUAAGACUGUUGUAAGAGAAGUCAAACCCUACGAGGUUGUUACAGUUCGCUACUGUAUCAGGGAUUGGUCCGGAGAGGUUGUUACGAGACAAAGACACGAACUUGGUCUUGUCGCAGUACCUAAACAGAGAAGUAGGAAUCUCACCGGAGAAGCCGUUUCUAGACAAGUCGAGAAACCUUAAGCUAGUUAACCCACCGAUGAACUCAGGGGUCGGACCGGACAACGCGUUGGAGCUAACGUUAAUGGUCCAUAAAGUCUGUAACUUUGAGUAAUCCAGCGGUAGGUUACCUGUAAACCUGUUGCCAAACAAGGUCAGAACUCGAAUAGACUUUAGACCGGAGAGACUCGGAGUCAAGCUUCCGGCGAGACUCGUGUUCCAGAGGACGAUCUUGUCAACGAAUCCUUCAGGGUUACAAGCGACUCCAUUGAAGCUAUUGCAGAUGUCUCCGUCGAGGGUCCAAGAGGCUAAGCUGUUGUAAGGAUCGUCAGUGAUGCUGUCUUUGAACUGAAGCAGAAUGUCUCGCUCCUCUUCGAUUGUAACAAGAGAGCAACACGGAGAAGUUGAAAUGUAUACGAAAACCAGAAAAAGGUAAACCCUUUUCAUGGUUGAACUCAGGCUGAUUAAACGGAUCUACCCAGUUGACAUUACCGGUUCAGGAUCCGAAACCGAACCCGGUUCGUCAAUCUACAAUCUUUCUUCCAGAAUCAAGAAGAAAGCAGGUGCAUUUGCUAACCCAAUGAAACGAAACGGUUGAUUUUUAUUGGGAUUGAGAGAGCUCAAGCUAUGAACUUUUCAACUGCUUUGACAUUUAUGUAUGGUCGUCAUCCCUUAACGGCUAGAAAAAAAAAUUUACCGACCAAAGGUCAAAGCUUUCGUGAAAGAAACGACAAAAGAAAAAGGAAGCACAGAGUCAGAGCACAAAAUGAGAUUUUGGGGUUCUGCAAGUUUUCGAAUACAAGAGAAGAGAACUAUGCGCAGCUCAGCUUGCAAUACAGAGAAGCGAGUGUGUGACUUGUGGCUUGGCUGGAAAGUAAGUUCUCUCGCUCUGGCUUCCACCAAAUGAAGAGGAAGCACGUGCUUGGCUUUGUUCAUCACCUAUAUGUUUUUAAGUAAGGGGGAAGAGUAAGUGUCUGCUUGUCUGUAGUCUUUUCUUCUUUUACGAGCUCUGAGGUUCAAACCGAGCACAACACAGACGCCAAAGAGGAUCACGGCUGCAGCAACUAUGACAAUGAUAACCGAAACGCUUAGAGCUUCAGAGUUUCUUGAUUUCCCUGUGGCGGCUCCACGUG
This 2492-nucleotide long non-coding RNA is filed under the name Brassica napus (rape). RNAcentral describes it as "long non-coding RNA (BNAP_LNC016945)". The record is from RNAcentral. Lineage: Eukaryota; Viridiplantae; Streptophyta; Magnoliopsida; Brassicales; Brassicaceae.